GUAAUUGAAGAGGUUUGGAAAGACCCACCACAGAAGGUAAUAGUCCUGUAUGUUAAACGAGAAGACUUUAGAUAUGAUCCAGAGUACCACGGGACACGUGAAACCCUGUGGGAAGCAGGAGGGACCACCCUCCAAGGCUAAAUACUACCUAGUGACCGAUAGCGUAUAGUACCGUGAGGGAAAGGUGAAAAGAACCCCGGGAGGGGAGUGAAAUAGAACCUGAAACCCUGCACUUACAAGCUGUGGAAGCACAUUUCUUGUGUGACCGCGUACUUUUUGUAGAACGGGCCAACGAGUUACGUUAAGUAG
RNAcentral lists this ribosomal RNA (309 nucleotides) under Clostridioides difficile. RNAcentral's name for it is "partial 23S ribosomal RNA". It matches the Rfam family "Bacterial large subunit ribosomal RNA", at positions 329 to 640 of the family's 2925-position model. Lineage: Bacteria; Bacillati; Bacillota; Clostridia; Peptostreptococcales; Peptostreptococcaceae. The record is from RNAcentral.